This 237-nucleotide ribosomal RNA is filed under the name Triticum aestivum (bread wheat). RNAcentral's name for it is "partial small subunit ribosomal RNA". Lineage: Eukaryota; Viridiplantae; Streptophyta; Magnoliopsida; Poales; Poaceae. The record is from RNAcentral.
AUGGGACCAGUCCGUCUUGACGCGGCCGCCCUGCGUGGCCCAGUCAUCUGCGUUCCAGAGGCUGGAAUAGAGGCGCAUCGGCUGGUUCUUGGGGAAGGCGAUCCCUUUUCCCUCCAGGUUCCUGAAGUCCCUGAUCGGCAUGUCGUCCACCAUGAAGCUGUAUUUAAGUACACCAUGAUCGAAAGAAACGGAGCAACAGCUUACAUGAUGUGCUUGGGGUUCCAGAGGAUGGAGUAG